This 213-nucleotide unclassified non-coding RNA is filed under the name Pseudomonas sp. PDC86. RNAcentral describes it as "Pseudomonas sRNA P29". Lineage: Bacteria; Pseudomonadati; Pseudomonadota; Gammaproteobacteria; Pseudomonadales; Pseudomonadaceae. The record is from RNAcentral.
CAGCACAAAGGGGACCCUAGGGUCCCCUUUAAUUUGUCGUUGCCUGCUCUUUUUUUAUUAUUGAGGGGCGGUCUGUUGUUGUUUUUGGUAACCGUGACCCUUUACCGCUGUUUUUGGCGACCCCCAUCCGGGGUCAAGAGCAAACGUAUUUUUUUGAGCGCUGAUCUGCUUCUUCGCAAGCGAUCCAACCAGUGGCAGCUACCUGAGGUAGUU